This 3878-nucleotide long non-coding RNA is filed under the name Zalophus californianus (California sea lion). RNAcentral describes it as "lncRNA (ENSZCAG00015022962.1)". Lineage: Eukaryota; Metazoa; Chordata; Mammalia; Carnivora; Otariidae. The record is from RNAcentral.
UUAAAAGUGAUUAAAACUUUGUCAAAGAGGUGAGGCAAAUGCACACAUCAUAGAGAGCCAAGUGUAGGGGGUCUCUGAAUCACAGCAGUCAAAAGAAAAGUGCUUUAGGAGAUCAAGAAUGAGAUUGCUUCCAGCUGGAUAAAUGCAGACAGAUUUCAAAGGGAACUAUUUGAAAGUGAGUGCCAGAAGAAUGAGGACCUUCCCCACGUGACUGCUGUCGCCUUGUCACACUCAAGAAAUUUAACAUUGGCAGAAGAAAUCUAAUAUUUAAAUUUCCCCAACUGUGCCAGUAAUAGUCCUGUAUCUUUUUAUCUUCCAAUCUGGGGAUGCACUCAGGGACCUUGCAUUGCAUUUACUGUCGCAUCUCUGAGUCUGCUAAACAGACCUCCCCCCCACCCUGCCAGUAUCCUCCUGUCACUUCCUGUCCCCUGGUCAUUGUCACGAAUAUGCACACAACAACCACCAGGCCUAGAGGUGAUGCCCCUUGAUGUCCCCUUUACCCUUUAGACUCACACAGCUCAGGGCUUGCCUCCCUCCCUGCCCUCACCCCCCCGACCAAUGCCUGUGUAGGGACCCUUCUGUCUGUGUAGGGACCCUUCUGUCCCCUCUGUCGCCUGAGCAGACAAGGAGCUUCCAAGAGGCCGGAGGUCCCAGUUUGCUUUUCCCCUGUGUUCCCAGCAAUGACACAGGGUUGAGACAGCUGGGGCUGGGGGUUUAUAGAGUCAGUGGACGUUACCCAUCCAGGCAGGAGGCCUGGAAGGGCCGGGCCAGCCCAGGAGCGGCAGCAGAGCAAGACACCACAUUUUCUUUCCUGCCCUCAGGACAGCCACUCACUGGUGGAAGGCCUCAGGUGUGGAGGCCCGGAGUCUGCUCAAGCUCUAUGGGAUCCGCUUCGACAUCCUCGUCACUGGGCAGGCAGGGAAGUUCGGGCUCAUCCCCACGAUCAUCACUCUGGGCACUGGAGCAGCUUGGCUGGGUGUGGUGAGUCUGGCCAAUGUGGGCUCCCUCUGGCUACAGCGACUGUGUACCCAGGAUGGCCCAAGUGCACUCCAAGCACCCCGACCCCCACCAUGCAUGAUGUUGAGUCUGGGGGUGAGGGCUGGGGAGGUGGCCGAAGGGCAGGCUGAGGGCCAAGACACAGGUCUGCCCCGCCUCUCCCAGAUCACCUUCUUCUGUGACCUGCUACUGUUGUACGUGGAUGAAGAAGCCCAUUUCUACUGGAGUACCAAGUAUGAGGAGGUAGGCUGCGGGCCUGUCCGGACCCUGGGCUCGGCUACAUUUUGGAGGAUACUGACCAGAGCCCUGAUCGGAUGUUCUCAUCUGCAGGCAAAGGCCCCGAAGGUGACCACCAACCCUGAGCAGACAGAGCCAGCUUCUACACCCCCGCACGUGGCUGCCCAGGUGUCUUAGAGGGGGCCCAGUCUGGGAACCAGACACCAACACCAGAGUGGCCCAUGCCCAGGCUCUGGCCCCCACUCACUGGCCUGUUCCUGAGGCUGUUUCCUGCUGGUUGCCGGGUGGGGACCCCAUCUUGGGGAGCUGCUGGAUAAAGCCCCAGCAGGACCAGGGUCGGGGGUGGGGGGAGAAUUACACCCUUCCACUCCCAGACAGACUGACCCUUUCCUGACUCCAGCUUCAGCAGGGUGCUGCCUGGGGGGGGCCACAGAAGCCAGUUUUGUAGAGACCUGCAGCAGAACAGGAGCCACGGAGAAGGGGAGACCCUGGGGCACCCAUGUGGCAGGGUAGUGGGCCAGUGGGGCUCCUGCUGUGUCUGGGUCUAGAGAACUCUCUCCCAGUCCCCGUCAGCAGUGUUCCCAGCGGUGGCCUGCUCACCAGCUGUCAGCAGCAGCCCUCCCACUGGCUGUGGCAGACUCCAGCCUCCAGCCCCCCUCCAUCCGCCAGCACCUCUAUCGUAGGUAGAGCCCCUCCGUCUCAGCUGUGCUGCACCGGGGGCUGUGCAACCAGAGUCUGAAGCAAGGUAGAAAGAAGCCUGACAAGAGGGGUCAGGCUGCUCCGGUGUUGGAUUGCCUGGGGCAACCUACCCAACUCUGAAUGAAGAGUGAGUAGGCAGAUAAUCCAACCCCUACGGACCCCCAGGCAAGGACACAGGCACCCUUUGGUCUCACACUGGCCCAGUUGAUGAGCAUCAGCCCCUCCCUGGUGGUGGCCCUCAGGCUAUGGGGUUUGGGAUAGGGAGGAGAGACUGGAGGGCCUGAGAUGGUGGUCACUGGGUCCUUUGGGAUCUUCUGUAAGGCUCCUCAUUAACCACCCCUCCCCAGCCCAACCCCUAGAACCUGCUCACUGGAGCCAUGGGAGUAGGGAGGCUGUACAUCUGGAAUUCACUGCUACCCAAGGUCAUAGCUAAGAACCUGUCAGGGCAUCUGCUUGUCCCAGCCUGAGGCAACUGCAUGCAGGAGACCUUGAACAUAACCCUAGGUAGAGCCCAGUGGCUGGAAGGAAUGUCCCUCACAAAGGACACAAAGGUGCCCCGCAGGCUGGCUUGGUAUCUUUCUGGAGUCUGAUUCCUGCCUGCUGGAGAAUUUCCCCUGCCCCAGAGUCCCACAGUCAGGAGGGGAGGAACAGGGGCUGCAAGAGCCAAACUCCCUGUGGUCCCAGGGCAGAGGCAGGAAUUUGGGAGAACCCACCCGAGGGAGGCAAGGGCCUUCUCUCUCAUGGGUCCCUGGUGACCAAGGGUGAGCUGGCAGCUUGGCAGCGGAGCCACAAAGACCAGUUGGGGAGGGCCAGGGCUGGGGCUCAGGCUGGGCUAGCAUCUGGAAUCAUCUGGCACCUGGAGCCUCAGCAAAGCCUUGGGGUCUCCACUGCUUCUCAAUCCCCAGAGACGUGUCCAUGGGGAGGCAGGUUCAGGAGAGCCAAGGUGAGAGAACAUGGCUCUGAGGCCUGGUUAUUGGAGUGGGGUCACAUGUACCUGGUUGUGCUCAGGGCUCUAAGUGGUCAUAGCUGCAGAAAGUCAAGGAGUAAAGCCUGCUCAAACCAGCAGCUUCCUGUGUAGUCCUUAUAGGCAAGAACGGGGAGUUGGAAGCAUCUAUGAUGGACAUAGCAUGGCUUUAGGGAGACCAGUGGGGAAAGGGGAAGGAUGGGCCUGCGGACCCCCACCUCACAGCCACCAGCUGGGCUCAGCGGUACUUGGAGCAGGCCCAGGCCUUGUGCAUCCGUACGCAGGAGUGUAUACCAUACAUGUGUGUAAUAUCCUAAGCCUUUAUCGCAAAGCCCUUGAGGGAAGGGGGAGAGUACCAGCUGUGACAGCUAGAAAGCUGUGGCCAGGGCCUGAGGCUGGAAGCAGCAACACGUUGCCUCAGUCUGCAUGUGGGUGUGCAUCGUCAAGAUGGCCAUGCAGGCACGUGCCCCAGAGGAGCCCUGGGCAGGCCUCGGGGACAUGCUAUGCUUUCUGGGAGCCUUGGGAACCCAGGAGGACCCUGGAACUCCACUGCCCUUUGUAGGCGACCUUUUUGGGGCCCAGGUUCUGCUCUCUGGAUCUCCCCCUCCAAGGGACAUGUGGGGAGCCUGUGAUGGGGGGAGCCUGACUCUGCCCUUUUCAUGGUCCCCUCCUCUCCUGGUGUGUGUGUGGGUGUGUACAUAGCUCCGCUCUGAGCUGGGCAGAGGGCACCAGCCUGAGGGCAGGACUCCAGGGCCCAGGCCGGUGGUGUCUCUGAUUCAGGGUUGUCCCAGAGCUGGUGCCUCCCUCUUGCCAAAACUUAGCAUCUUUACUGUGGUUUGGGGACAAUCCUCUGGUUCUUGGGGGGGGGGCAGGAAAGCACUCAGCUCCACAAGGAAUGAAAUGGUGGACACAGCAGCAGGGCACAUGGCUGGCCAAGACGUUAUUAUUGUGGAUAUCUGGGGGCUGUGGGCCUCUCCCCUGC